UUGGGCCCCUGGUCAAAGGUGUUUGUGUUCCCUGUUUGUAUAACCCUUUACAGGUUAAAAGAGGACAUUAAACCCCUUAACUAUCUGUUGAAGACAUGCACAUGUA
Molecule: non-coding RNA, 106 nt
Organism: Chelonoidis abingdonii (Abingdon island giant tortoise)
Lineage: Eukaryota; Metazoa; Chordata; Testudines; Testudinidae
Source: RefSeq, a predicted model, not a curated record